RNAcentral lists this ribosomal RNA (253 nucleotides) under uncultured bacterium. Its description in RNAcentral is "partial 16S ribosomal RNA". It matches the Rfam family "Bacterial small subunit ribosomal RNA", at positions 524 to 776 of the family's 1533-position model. The record is from RNAcentral.
UACGUAGGUGGCAAGCGUUGUCCGGAUUUACUGGGCGUAAAGCGUGCGCAGGCGGUUCGUUAAGUUCGUUGUGAAAGCCCCGGGCUCAACCUGGGAACUGCAAUGGAAACUGGCGGGCUUGAAUGCGGCAGAGGGGGGUGGAAUUCCGCGUGUAGCAGUGAAAUGCGUAGAGAUGCGGAGGAACACCGAUGGCGAAGGCAGCCCCCUGGGCCGACAUUGACGCUCAGGCACGAAAGCGUGGGGAGCAAACGGG